CAGAUGGGGAAGCUGAGGCCCAGAGAAGUUAAGUAAGUUGUCUAAGUUCACAAAGUUACCAGAAGAUUGUGGAGUGGUCUUCCAGGGAGAGUUAUCUUGUAUCAGGAAGGAGAGAUGAUUACUUAGGAAAGCCCAAGAAACAACAGGUAUUUGAAAGCUAUAGCAGUUCAUCUGGGGUUGAUCUGGGAGCAUACAGCAAAAAAAGAGCUAAAAUGCAAGGCACCAACGUAGAAAAGCCCACCUGGUCUCUCUUCUUAGGGUGGCUCCUCUCUGUCUCUCUGCCUCUGCCUCUUGUCCUAGCCCAGCAUGGCCGCAGGUCCCAGGUUCUGUGACAUCACAGUGCAGUGCCCACAGCUCACUGUUGGUUCCUGCCAUUGAGAUUAUCUGAUUGGCCACUGGCCAGCCAAUGGUGGAUCAGACUUUGGAGCAGGUGAUCCUUGGACGCCCACAGUACAUCACCUUCAUGAGCGCAUCAGUGAACACCAGUCUAAGGAAGACAUCUCUGAACGUAAUUUUGGAGAUUUUGAUGAGUUCCAUUGAAACAAGGAGGAAUGUGAUGUCCAGUAUCAGUUCUGCAGACCCAAGGACAAAGAAAAUUCUGUGAUAAACUCAUCCAGUGUGACUGUAAUGUGGGUAUCUAUUUGAUACCUCCAAGUAACUGUUUAUUCUUGUGCCAGUUGAGUAGAUGGUACGGGCCAGUUGGUGUUGAUUAGUGAACCACGGACAAAGGGCAUAUGUCACAUGAGUUGCUCCUGGAUAAAGUCACCCAGUCACUUCCUGAUGAAUAUCCUGCAUAAACUCCAAAGACAAAAGAGAGUUAAGGUUGUUUUUCUCACCUUAGACCAGGCAGUGAUAGAAGAACUGGGGGAAGAGAUAAUUGUAUUUAUCUUGGUGAGGGUGACAAAUCAUGGCAAAUGAGCAAAAUGAAAAAGGAUACAAGACACCGGACUUUCAAAUCAACAAUUGUUUCAAAAGACUCCUACUGGAUUCCUGCUAGUGAUGGGAGAAAAUUAUCAUUCUGCUAGUUAAUCUGUAGCCAGAGAUGAUUAAGGAGGUCAUUAAAGGAAAACAAGCUGCCCACCAUGCUGAUGCCUGGUUGUUCAGAUCGUUGAGGUGGUGUAGAGAUGACGCACACUGGCUCAGUUUACCCACAUUUGGAUCUACGGACCUGCAAG
RNAcentral lists this long non-coding RNA (1175 nucleotides) under Homo sapiens (human). RNAcentral's name for it is "non-protein coding lnc-TMEM132B-4:1". Lineage: Eukaryota; Metazoa; Chordata; Mammalia; Primates; Hominidae. The record is from RNAcentral.